AUUUUGCAAAAUGGCAUCGAACGUGCCGGCCGGUGAGAUUAAUUGUCAAUAAUUUUUGUGUUUUCAGUUGCAUUUUUUCUUGAUCAACAGCCAAUUUUUGGCAGAUUAAUACUGUAAUCUCAAUAAAUACUUCGAUUAUUUCCACCUUGAUUUUCUUUCGAUUCGGCAAAUUGAAAUUCGGAUCAUUCACUACGCAUUGUUUUGGUUCUUUGUCGUCAAAAAAGAGCACUAAUGGUGAUUUCCGCCAGCCGAAUAAGUGACUUAAAAUAGUUCUUUGACUAUUUUAUACGUCAACUUCUCCAUUCAAUCAUAUUUUUAAUUCGGAGAUUCAAUGCGGCGAAAUUCAGCACAUAACCUCAAAAUGGUUCUUACUUCAAAAACAAAAAAUCGCAGUUCUGGACGUUAAAAGAAUUAGUAGGAGUCAACUUCUCUUCGACGUGGACGAUCGAAAUCUUUUUUCCGAUAUAAACAUCAGGAUACUUUUCUGGCCAAGGGAUAUUUUCGACAUGGACAUCAAAAACUUUAUUCCAAAGAAAAAUGCGCGGGAUUCAUUUAUUCUAACUUGAGAAUCUGCGAACGAGAGUUAAUGCUGAAAGAAGAGGAAAACAAAAUUAUAGCUGAAAGAAGUGGAAAACAAAAUUAUAGCAACAGGAAAUGAAUAAUUGUAAUUCUAAUUAAUUUUAAAUAAAUAAUUGAAAUAAUUGAAAAUAUUUAUUUAUCUUCAUUUAUAGGGUUAAGGCUGAAAAAUGUGUAAGAGAAAAUUAUAGCAACAGGAAAUAAGUUAUUGUAUUUGUAAUAAAUUUGAA
This is a long non-coding RNA of Leptopilina heterotoma, 806 nucleotides long. RefSeq lists it as uncharacterized. The transcript is spliced from 5 exons. NCBI's taxonomy places the organism in Eukaryota, Metazoa, Arthropoda, Insecta, Hymenoptera, Figitidae. The record is from RefSeq and is a predicted model, not a curated record.